UCGUAUACAAUGGAGGUGCUCGGGCUGUCGCUGACCUCUAAAAAGGGUCGUGCACGCCCGGGGCACUCUCUCAUAUCCAUCUCACCCCUUUGUGCAUUGCCGCGUGGGUCCCCUGAAACAAAGGGGGACCUGCGUUUUUACAUACACACCCUUUGAACGCAUGUGUAGAACGUCUUAUGAUAUCAAUACAACUUUCAACAACGGAUCUCUUGGCUCUCGCAUCGAUGAAGAACGCAGCGAAAUGCGAUACGUAAUGUGAAUUGCAGAAUUCAGUGAAUCAUCGAAUCUUUGAACGCACCUUGCGCCCCUUGGUAUUCCGAGGGGCACACCCGUUUGAGUGUCGUGUAUACUUCUCAACCUUCUUGGUUUCUAUGACCAAAAAGGCUUGGACUUUGGAGGUUUUUCUUGCUGGCCUCUUUUGAAGCCAGCUCCUCCUAAAUGAAUGUGUGGGGUCUGCUUUGCUGAUCCUCGACGUGAUAAGCAUUUCUUCUACGUCGUGUCAGCUCGGGACCUGCUUUCUAACCGUCUUUGGAGACAAAGACCUUUUUACAAACCUUGACCUCAAAUCGGGUGAGACU
RNAcentral lists this ribosomal RNA (578 nucleotides) under uncultured Russula. RNAcentral's name for it is "eukaryotic LSU rRNA". The stretch from base 190 to 343 matches the Rfam family "5.8S ribosomal RNA". Lineage: Eukaryota; Fungi; Basidiomycota; Agaricomycetes; Russulales; Russulaceae. The record is from RNAcentral.